UGGGAUGUAGCUCAGUGGUAGAGUGCUUGUCUAGCAUGCAUGAAGUCCUGGGUUCAAUUUCUAGCACUGCAA
RNAcentral lists this transfer RNA (72 nucleotides) under Ictidomys tridecemlineatus (thirteen-lined ground squirrel). RNAcentral's name for it is "Spermophilus tridecemlineatus (thirteen-lined ground squirrel) tRNA". It matches the Rfam family "tRNA". From Rfam's summary of the family: Transfer RNA (tRNA) molecules are approximately 80 nucleotides in length. The record is from Rfam by way of RNAcentral. Lineage: Eukaryota; Metazoa; Chordata; Mammalia; Rodentia; Sciuridae.